AGUAGCGUGGUUCACGUUUCUAUGAAAAAGACAAAAGUUGUUAUUUUUUCUUGCAUCAACCGGAAUUUCGUUCUUUUAUGUCCCCAGAAGCACUCCUGAAAAUUUGAGCCCAUUUGGUAAGGUCUAGGAGCUCCAGUUUUAAUUUGAAAUUUAUAUGGGAUUUUGAUUUAUUUUCCAUGGGAAACUAUCUUUUUUUACAUUGUAUUAGGAAUUAUUUUUUAUAAAUCGAUUAAAUGACUUGAUUCUUAUAGUAGGAGAUAGGUUUUGAACUGGGGAACAACUUUGUAGAACAUACCAACAUGCUAGGAAGUGACCCUUUAAAGAUACAGAUACUUUUAGAUGGUGGCUUUUGAAGGGGCUUUACUGUGUGGGGUGAAACGGGCUAGCUGGCGUAAGUUCAAGAUAUCUUUGGUUUUUCAUCGAUGGUGCUUUGACUUUUUCUAGUCAUAUUUACAAAGUUAUUUUUAGAACGUUUAUUUAUAGACAAGCAUGGGCUACGGUUUUGGCCAGCAGUGUUUUGUGAGUUUUCAACGAUAGCAAAAUCUUUUCCUUGGACAAUCUGGCCACCGGUGUUGUUCCAGGUUAUCAAAUGGAUGAUGAGACAGUUCGGACACCGGCACUGUUCCGGGUUGGCGGUUUGCUGUUUGUCAAAUAUGUUUUACAAGAAUUGGUGGACAGUUUCGACACCGGCAUUGUUCCGGGUUGGCGGUUGGCGGGUUAUCACGUGUGGAACAUCGUUCGAUUGCAUCUCGGACUCUUAAGCAGCACGUGAACGACGCAACGAUGACUUCCCAGAAGACGACCGCUCACUCCGGAUCGGUAAGAGUUAGUUCCACUAUAGCUGCCAAAGUGUAUAUCCAUUACAUUACCCGCAGAUAUCACAGCUCUCUGAGCCGGACCGACCAUUAGCGCUCUGUAGAGGUGGACCAGGUGAAGAGCACGAGGCCAUACAGAAAAAAAUCAGCACGUCGCAAAUCCCGACAACAUCCAACGAGUACUUCGGGAAGGUCAAAGCGGAGAACAACGAGAACCUCGCCCUGUAUGAAGCGCCGAGAACGACGUUUCUGAACACCGCCAGCUGGAUCGGACGCACGACGUAGGUGAAGGUAUUUAGGAACAAGCUGGCAGACAAUAAUUAAGACCCUGUCUCAGGUGAGCAAGAGCGUUCAGACGCACACGGAGACACACCGGCUAUGCCCCUUAGGACGACUCCGAUCUAGAUCGGACGCGCGAGAGUGGAGACGGCAGGAGAGACGAAUCGCAGGCCAGAAAUCAACCGUCACCACUGCAAACACGGGUACAAGUGAAGCACGGCCCAUUAUCAAGGUCAAGCAGACAUGGAAACAAGAUGUAUGUUCGCUGAACCACGCGGAGUCUCACCGACACCAAUAAAUUGCCCAACUCAGACAACAAGAGCGGUACUCGAAGCACACGGAUAACUACAGGAGUUACUGAAGCUAGAAAAAACGCCCCAUGGACCGAACGGGGUUUGGUGUUCCUGUCCCUGAGCGCGAGGACGGAUCAAUCGUGCACAGGUUGAGCUGAUUGGCUGGUGGAUUCGACUAAAGCGCUUCAUUCGCUCCAAGCAUCUGGUAGAGCAGGGCCAUGCGCGCUGAUGGAGUGCUCGAAAAUCGGGCGCAUCACGUGGACGCAGAGCGGAGUGCGUGCCAACACCGUACGCGCAACAAUAUCCUACGCGUCGGGCGGACGCAAAGCUUCGUGCGCGGCAACACCGUACAUCAGAGACAUGCGAGGUUGAAGUAGGAGUUUUGAAUCUAUUUUCAACCUUAUCAACAGCUGUUAAAAUGAGUUAUUGCGUUGAUUGUUUUAAUUAUUUAAAAAACUGAAAUACACAAACAAUCGAAACAGUGUUGUUUACUUUAGGUUCUGUCCCGAAAUGCAAUUCCCAAUCUGAAACUAACCCCUGAUUAAAUCGACUCCCAAACUAUAUCCUUCAAUCCCGACCAAUUUCGUAAGCGUGACCAGCCCCUCCCCGUCCUCCCAUCUUUUCAAACUUCUUAACUGAUCGAAAGACAACUGUGUCGAUCCCCUAACAAGAACAGUCUUUGAUAACCCGCCAACCGCCAACCCGGAACAAUGCCGGUGUCGAAACUGUCCACCAAUUCUUGUAAAACAUAUUUGACAAACAGCAAACCGCCAACCCGGAACAGUGCCGGUGUCCGAACUAUCUCAUCAUCCAUUUGAUAACCUGGAACAACACCGGUGGCCAGAUUGUCCAAGGAAAAGAUUUUGCUAUCGUUGAAAACUCACAAAACACUGCUGGCCAAAACCGUAGCCCAUGCUUGUCUAUAAAUAAACGUUCCAAAAAUAACUUUGUAAAUAUGACUAGAAAAAGUCAAAGCACCAUCGAUGAAAAACCAAAGAUAUCUUGAACUUACGCCAGCUAGCCCGUUUCACCCCACACAGUAAAGCCCCUUCAAAAGCCACCAUCUAAAAGUAUCUGUAUCUUUAAAGGGUCACUUCCUAGCAUGUUGGUAUGUUCUACAAAGUUGUUCCCCAGUUCAAAACCUAUCUCCUACUAUAAGAAUCAAGUCAUUUAAUCGAUUUAUAAAAAAUAAUUCCUAAUACAAUGUAAAAAAAGAUAGUUUCCCAUGGAAAAUAAAUCAAAAUCCCAUAUAAAUUUCAAAUUAAAACUGGAGCUCCUAGACCUUACCAAAUGGGCUCAAAUUUUCAGGAGUGCUUCUGGGGACAUAAAAGAACGAAAUUCCGGUUGAUGCAAGAAAAAAUAACAACUUUUGUCUUUUUCAUAGAAACGU
Long non-coding RNA from Culex pipiens pallens (northern house mosquito), 2777 nucleotides. RefSeq lists it as uncharacterized. The record is from RefSeq and is a predicted model, not a curated record. The transcript is spliced from 3 exons. Lineage: Eukaryota; Metazoa; Arthropoda; Insecta; Diptera; Culicidae.